Molecule: long non-coding RNA, 526 nt
Filed under: Carica papaya (papaya)
Lineage: Eukaryota; Viridiplantae; Streptophyta; Magnoliopsida; Brassicales; Caricaceae
Description: long non-coding RNA (CPAP_LNC002216)
Source: RNAcentral
AAUAUGAUUAAUUAACCCUAAAUCUAAAACAGUAAAUCAUCUGAGUUUUUUUUUUAACUCACUUACUCGAAUCGGCCUCCUAGGACUCACUGUGCGCAACCACCAGAAUUCCACACACCUCCACAUGCGCCACCACCAGACUGCCACGUGUCGUUGCCACUAGUCACCAAUCACCACCAAUCACCACCGUUCAUCGUUUUGGAUUGGCUAAAAUUCACCGCAGAGCACUUUGCGCCCACGAUCCAACGCAAAUCUUGUGGAAUUGCACCGAAGGGAGCUGCGGAACAGUAAAAUGCAUGUCAGACUGCCACGAAAUUGUCUUAUUCUCCUGCGCACUGCCACGCACAGCACUGGCUUCUCCUCCUCCUUUUCCUUCUUUUUCCUCUCCUCUCUUGGCUAUCAAUUGGUGGUAACCACAGCGCCUCCCUUCCUACCUUCCUCUCUAUCCCUUUUUCUUUCUCUCUCUCUCUCUCCCUCUCUCUCUCUCUUUUUCUCUCUUCCUACUUUGAUCUCUUUCCCUCUCUUU